UCGGGCCUCGGGAGGCAGCAGUGGGGAAUAUUGCACAAUGGGCGAAAGCCUGAUGCAGCAACGCCGCGUGAAGGAAGAAGGGUUUCGGCUCGUAAACUUCUAUUAACAGGGACGAAAGAAAUGACGGUACCUGAAUAAGAAGCCCCGGCUAACUACGUGCCAGCAGCCGCGGUAAUACGUAGGGGGCAAGCGUUAUCCGGAAUUACUGGGUGUAAAGGGUGAGGAGGCGGCAUGGUAAGCCAGAUGUGAAAGCCUUGGGCUUAAACCGAGGAUUGCAUUUGGAACUAUCAAGCUAGAGGACAGGG
This 305-nucleotide ribosomal RNA is filed under the name uncultured bacterium. RNAcentral describes it as "bacterial SSU rRNA". It matches the Rfam family "Bacterial small subunit ribosomal RNA", at positions 330 to 653 of the family's 1533-position model. The record is from RNAcentral.